AGUGAACGCUGGCGGUAGGCCUAACACAUGCAAGUCGAACGGCAGCACAGUAAUAGCUUGCUCUUACGGGUGGCGAGUGGCGGACGGGUGAUGAAUACAUCGGUAUCUACUUUUUCUUGGGGGAUAACGUAGGGAAACUUACUCUAAUACCUCAUACGACCUACGGGUGAAAGCAGGGGACCUUCGGACCUUGCGCGAUUGAAUGAGCCGAUGUCGGGUUAGCUAGUUUGCGGGGUAAAGGCCCACCAAGGCGACGAUCCGUAGCUGGUCUGAGAGGAUGAUCAGCCACACUGGAGCUGAGACACGGUCCAGACUCCUACGGGAGGCAGCAGUGGGAAAUAUUGGACAAUGGGCGAAAGCCUGAUCCAGCCAUACCGCGUGGGUGAAGAAGGCCUUCGGGUUGUAAAGCCAUUUUGUUGGGAAAGAAAAGGAGCAGGUUAAUACCCCGCUGUUCUGACGGUACCAAAAGAAUAAGCACCGGCUAACUUCGU
This 491-nucleotide ribosomal RNA is filed under the name uncultured bacterium. RNAcentral's name for it is "partial 16S ribosomal RNA". It matches the Rfam family "Bacterial small subunit ribosomal RNA", at positions 29 to 506 of the family's 1533-position model. The record is from RNAcentral.